UUUGCUAUGGUGAACUUCUCCUGUUUCUAUUUUAAUCUUUGUUGAUCUGGAUUUAUACUGACCUCUCUUAGAGAAAUUAUUUUGUCUAACCUGUUUUUUCUUUUUCAUUAGGAUUUAAAUGAUUGUUUCAGCUAGAUCCCUGAGUGAGGUUUUUUUAUUUUGUUUGUUUGGUUUUGGGGGUUUUUUUGUGUGUAGGUUUCCUCUUUGGGAUUAUUUCUGUUUUAUUUUUGUUGUGUUGCUGUUUUCUUGGUGACCUACUUGCUGUCAUUAUGUUGAGACUCAGUCUUUUUGGCUAUGCACUUUUUAAAAGGCUGUUUCUAGAAAUCUGCCUGCUUGAACAGCAUACAAAUAAAACAACAGUUCUUCCUGCAAAAUUUGCCACAGCAUCUAUUACUUUUGGUCUUUUUCUGUGUUGGCUUUAGCUCUGGUAUUGAAAUGAAUAUGUAGUUUUCUAUCAACUCUAAGAUAUUGAAUACUGCAGUUUCUAGUGUAUUCCAAUUCUAGUUGAAGCAUCAAGCUGUGACUUUCCUUAGACACUGUUUUUGUAAAUAUGGCACUUUCUUACGAGGUUAAUCUAUUCCUAAUUAAUUAAGCCCUUGUACAAGUAAGCCAUUGGCAAAAGAAAGUUGAAAAUACAUUCCAUUCACAUUCCUAACUCCAUUCACGUCUCUGGAUUUACCAUCAAGGACAUACUUAUAUGGCUGAUUUUAGCUGGCAACAGUUAAAAAUGCUAUAAAGUCUGAGGCCAUGUAGGACAGACAAAAAUUUCUAACCUUCAAAGUCAAGUGAUGCUAAAACAAAUUGUGCAGUAAAAAUGUCCUUUAGAGGUGAAAUGGCAAGAAAUGAUAAAUUGUUAUGUGUUCUGCUGUUCAUUUAUGUGAUUUCAUAGCCUGUAGUGAGAGUGAAUCCCUUCUCCAUUACUGUAUUGAUAAUUUAUUUUUCCUGAUGGUCAGCAGCUGAAAGACUAUGUUGCAGAACAGUAAGGGACAUUAUCUCUUCAGUGUCUCUUUAGCUCACACAGGAGUUGCAAACAUGCAAGGCAGGUCAUACAGUGAGAAAAACUGUAAAUGUAAAGUACUCUCAGGAGUGAUUAAUAACAAUUACAAGGAAAAACAAUUUUGGCACUCAGAAAUAAGUCCUUUUCUAUCCAGAGUCUGUAGAACUUGUCAUUAACUACAGACUUAUCGUGCUGCAGAAGCAAAAUCCACUGUUCUAAAAACUACAGGCAUAUGCACAAGCAUAAAAAUGUGAGUAAGGUUGAGAAACCAAGCACUGAAAAGGUUGUAAGUGCCAAAAUGAAAAAUGCAUCUACAGUCUUUAUUUGGCAUCACAAUGCUUAUGUAUUAUGACACAGAAGCACAUAUUUAAAAUAUUACCUAAUUCAUUACAGCUGACAGUGCAUACUAUUGAAAUUCUUCUCUGAAUCAUUGCCUUUCUCACAGAUUUUUCUAUGAGAUGUAUCACUUGCAUCUGGAAGCACCACAAAAUGCAUUGAUUUAUUACUUUAUGCCAUGUGAAAUGAUGGAAUAUUUUACCCUUAUCUGAUGUGAAGGAAGCUGAAAUAUGGAGAGGUUAAGGUCAAAAGGAUCCAUUAAUUUCAUGUAUCUAACCAAGAAGACUGAGGCCUCAUUUUUCAAAUAAGAUGUCAGCUCUGCUGCUCCUCUUGGGAUUCUUCCAUCAAGAGAAUGCAUGUUCUGUCCGAGCUAUACUGGCAUUUUCUAAAGCCAUCCUCCAAUUUGCUUGCCCAAGACCCACAGAGGAUUGAGAAAAACAACAUGGGAAGUUUUUCAAACUGCUCUUUUUUGUAGGGCUGAUGAUACACUAUGUCUAAAAGAUGUGCAAAUCUCAGGAAAGGAUAAUUUCUAUCUGCUCUGCUGCAGUCUGCUUUCAGCCUACUGUGGACAGUGCAGGAUGAACACUGGGCACAGCUUGGUCAUUUACGCUACACUCUGUUUAGAGACUGAAACUUUGUCAUGGAGGGACUCACUGCAGGCAGGAAUACCACCUUGGAAUUUCCCAGCCCUGAGUUGCAUUUGAAGAAAUACUUGCCAUUGUUCAGCAGCUGGGGAAUUAGAGCACUUGCCCAAGAAAUGCAAGACCUUGGCCAUCACCCUUGUUCUGGGAGGUGAUGAACCCACAUCUUCCUUGUGUCAGAGUUUGGGGAAGCACCAGGCUGGCAGAUAAUCAACAGUGCAGAUGAAGUUGGAUCACUAUGCCAAAAAGACUGUAAAAAAAUCAUGGACCCAGGAAGACAAAACCUCAUGUAAAAUGAGGAAAUGUGUAUUCCCAAUACUGUUUGUGCUUUUUUAUCCCAUGUCCCUUAAAUGGGUGUGGUAGAACUCAGACUGGGAACUGGGAAAACACUGCUGAAGACACAUGGGCCCUCGUGUUUUCCCUCCCAGGCUACUGCACACUGUAAGGCACCAAAUGUGGACAAACUUGGUGUACAUAAGGCAUGAGGGUCCUGUUUGUGUUCAGCAGCUGUAAUAUUGCUUGCAGGUGAGGGAAUCUAAGUAGCAUGAGAAGUCACUUCUGGUCCAGGCACAUUCAGCACCAAAAUCCAGAUUAUAGGAUCAAUUUUGGCCACCCUGACUCUAAUGUGCUUGAAUUUUUCUGUAAACUGUUGUAUUUCACAAACUAUGUGCCAUAGUGCUGGGCUUCAUGGAACCCCAUAGGGAAAGUGUUGUGAAAACAGAUGUUAAUAAUGCAGUUUAUUACAGAUACUGGCUUAUUAAAUUGAAGGACAUUAAGUAGUGAAAUAAAUUAUUAAGAAAAACAGACAAUUCCAGGCAUUUUCUUGGGGAGAAAUCUAAUUUUUUUCUCAGCCACAAUCUCAGUAGGGGUGAAAUAGGAUCCAUUUAACACAGUUUAAAAUGUAAAACACUGAUUUGAUCACAUUGUAUGAGCUGUAUUUUCCAACACUGUGUUCAAAA
This is a long non-coding RNA of Passer domesticus (house sparrow), 2933 nucleotides long. RefSeq lists it as uncharacterized. NCBI's taxonomy places the organism in Eukaryota, Metazoa, Chordata, Aves, Passeriformes, Passeridae. The transcript has 4 exons. The record is from RefSeq and is a predicted model, not a curated record.